RNAcentral lists this ribosomal RNA (465 nucleotides) under Vreelandella stevensii. RNAcentral describes it as "partial 16S ribosomal RNA". It matches the Rfam family "Bacterial small subunit ribosomal RNA", at positions 338 to 795 of the family's 1533-position model. Lineage: Bacteria; Pseudomonadati; Pseudomonadota; Gammaproteobacteria; Oceanospirillales; Halomonadaceae. The record is from RNAcentral.
CCUACGGGGGGCUGCAGUGGGGAAUAUUGGACAAUGGGGGCAACCCUGAUCCAGCCAUGCCGCGUGUGUGAAGAAGGCCCUCGGGUUGUAAAGCACUUUCAGUGAGGAAGAACGCCUGGUGGUUAAUACCCAUCAGGAAAGACAUCACUCACAGAAGAAGCACCGGCUAACUCCGUGCCAGCAGCCGCGGUAAUACGGAGGGUGCGAGCGUUAAUCGGAAUUACUGGGCGUAAAGCGCGCGUAGGUGGCUUGAUAAGCCGGUUGUGAAAGCCCCGGGCUCAACCUGGGAACGGCAUCCGGAACUGUCAAGCUAGAGUGCAGGAGAGGAAGGUAGAAUUCCCGGUGUAGCGGUGAAAUGCGUAGAGAUCGGGAGGAAUACCAGUGGCGAAGGCGGCCUUCUGGACUGGCACUGACACUGAGGUGCGAAAGCGUGGGUAGCAAACAGGAUUAGAUACCCCAGUAGUC